AUCGGUGCAGUUGGUUGUCCACUCCUGGUCCUGCUUGUGCAUAUGUCAAUCUUCACAUCUGUGCAAAUGGUAGGGAACAAGGUAAGAGUAAAGAAAUUCCAUAGCUUGUGUGGCAUGUUUUACACUUCUGGAAGUCUUUCCUUUUACAAAGUAUGAUAAAACUGGAUGACUUUUUUUUAAUUGUCAUCAAAAUGAACCCAUUAAAGUAAAUAAGGGAUGUGCACUUGGGGGAAGAUGGAGUAGACAUGCUUCCUUUUUCUCCACUGAGUAUAUCUCAGUACCCUGUAUAAAUACAAAAAACAAACAAGAAAACUCUGGAAGGUAGAAGGAGAAGAACAGACCAGCUGGGAACCUUGAAACCAAGUUACUUAAUGAUAGUGAGUUCCCUGGACUUUAUUUUUAUGUGUUAUUUGUCCCAAACCUGGAACGUAAGCUACCAAUCUAGAAAUGCCAACAACUACCGAUCAAAUAAAAGCCCCAACAAAAUCCUGCUUUCACUAGACAAAGAAUCAGAAUAUGGACAACCUAGCAAGACAAAUACCUUUUUUUUUUUCCCAGUGCUGGUAAUUGAACCCAUGGCCUUGCAUAUGCUAGGCAGGUGCUCUACCACUGAGCUAUGCACAUCUCCAUCUCCAAAAGAGAAAGUAUUAGACGAUAAUUGGUCUACUGUAGACCUACACCAUAGAAAAAGCUGUGGCCCCACCACCACUCACGUGAGCAAAGGCCACACAGAAAGCCCCAGUUCAGCUUUUGCCUGGCUUAGACUCCUCAGGCUCCACCACCGCCAUGAUGAUAUCAGAGGAGAUUGAGUAGGAAGCUAGGAGUUUCAUCCAAAUGGUAAUGAGUCCUUCUCCCUAGUGGUGGCAACAUGGACAGCUUGUACAUCCAUUCCCAUUGGGCAGUAAUAAAGCAUCCUCCCCCUCACGACUACACGGCAGCAGUGAGGCCACAUAGCACUGAGGUGUCAGUGAGGCCCAGAUGGGGAACAGUAAAGAGGCACUACUUUUCCUGGCCAGGGAGCUAUUGGUGGAGGCCUAGAAGAAAGUGAGAAUGCUCUGCCCUGCCACCCACACCAGGACCAAGAAGUCUGGACCUUGUUUUAAAUGCAGGCCAAUAGUGAAUCUGGACUUCCCACCUGAAAGUAACUAGGCAGUAGCUCCCUUUCCUCCACUAAUGUGAAAAGGGAUAAUCAGUAGAUGCAAAUAUGAUGACAGAACUAUUAAAAUUAUCUGACAGAAUUUACAGCAAGCAUGGUACAUGUUUCGGGAAUCAGUAAUAAAACAAAUGAAAAAUGCAAAGCCUCAGAAAAGAAAUAGAAGCUAUAAGGAAGAAUCAGACAUUUUGUAACUAAGGGCUGGGGAUGCCUGGCAAGCGCGAGGUCCUGAGUUCGAUCCCCAGUAUUAAAAACAAAAAAAGUAACUAAAAUUUUGAAAGCUCAGUGGAUGGGCUGAGCAGCAUAAGAGAAGAGAAACGAAAGAACGAGAGCCAGAAGAUAGAAAUUACCCAUUCUGAACAACAGAGAGUUGGAAAUAGGAAUAGCAAGGGCCUAUAGAUCAAAGAACAAAAAGUUAACAUUCUUGCCACUCAAAUAAUGCCAAAAACCUUCCAAAGUCACCAAACCAUAUAACCCUACAGAUUCAGUAAACUGAGUGCUAUGGCCUGAAUGUUUGUUCUCCUGUCUUCACUCCAAAGUCAUAGGACAAAAUUUUUUGAAACCUUUUUUUUUUUGGUACCAGAGAUUGAACUCGGGCCCUUGCGCUUGCUUGCGCAGCAGGCAGCGAAACCACUGAGCUAAAUCCCCAGCCCUAUAUAUUUUUUUAAACUUUUUAAAAAAUUUUUUGUUUGUUUUUUUGGUCUUUUUGGUGCCAGAGAUUGAACUCGGGUCCUUGCGCUUGCAGGGCAGGCGUCAGAACCAGUGAGCUAAAUCCCCAGCUUGUGUAAUAUUUUUAAAUGAUAUUUUCUUUUUUGGUACCAGGGAUCGAACUUGGGUCCUUGCCCUUGCGCAGCAGGCAGCGAAACCACUGAGCUAAAUCCCCAGCCCUAUAAGAGGGAUAGUGUGGGGGUUUGUUGGGAGCAAUGCUACAUAAUUCUAGGGAAAAAUCAUUUGGUUAGCCUAGUUCUCUUGCCUACAGCCCAGCUACAGAAUAACUCCAGUUUGGCUUCCGGUCACAACUGAGACUUCAGUGAUCCAGUGAUGCUGUGAUUCUCCAGGACAAGAAACAUCCUGGGAGAACAAACAUCUGCUCAGUUCCUCGUUGUUCUUGGACUGUUAACCUCUUGUUUGCCGGAGAUGUACUGAACUCUCUGCAAGCCUUCCGUUACACCUUGUUUAUCCCAAUGUGAACUGUUGAACUCUCUGCAAGUUAUUUGUUACAUUUGUUUCUCCCGAUGUACUCAAUUCUCUGCAAGUCGUUUGUUACGAGGUACUGAAUAAAAGGUGUGGUAAGCUAGGGCCUUUUGUCUCUGCCGCCCGGAGCAGCACUGAUCAGACCCAAAGCUUGGCUUCUUCUCAGUCUCAUUUUUCUACCUUUCCUGUAAUUCGCCGUGUGCUGCCGUGGCUCGCAGGAGACCAGGACUCACUGCAGAGGUUCUGGUAACGUCCCUUUCCCCUGUCCCCUACAGGGGUUUUGGGGGGGGGGGGUUGGUACCGGGGAUCGAACUCCAGUUCUUGCUCUUGAGCAGCAGGCGGCGAAAGCACUGAGCUAAAUCCCGCCCCCAUAGGACAAAAUUUUACCCCUAGUGGUGAUAUCAGUGGUCUAGGUAUCACUUCUCAUUUUUCUAGAGUAUUUUAUUUUGUGUUACUCAGAGCUUUGCACAUGCUAGGCAAGUGCCCUACCAGUAAGCUACACCCCAGCCUUCUGAGGAUUCUUUCUAUCAUGAGUGGGUAUUGAAUUUAUCAAAUGCUUUUUCUGUUUCAACUGUUCUAAACUUAUAAUUGUUUAGUCUUUUUUUUUUUUCCAACCAUGUAGUUCAGGCUGGGCUCGGACUCACGAUGAUCCUCCUGCCUCAGCCUUCCAUGUGCUGGGAUUAUAGGCAUGCACCACCUCACUGG
Molecule: long non-coding RNA, 3052 nt
Filed under: Heterocephalus glaber (naked mole-rat)
Lineage: Eukaryota; Metazoa; Chordata; Mammalia; Rodentia; Bathyergidae
Description: lncRNA (ENSHGLG00100034008.1)
Source: RNAcentral